AGGCAGCAGUGGGGAAUAUUGCGCAAUGGGCGGAAGCCUGACGCAGCGACGCCGCGUGAGGGAUGACGGCCUUCGGGUUGUAAACCUCUUUCAGCUCUGACGAAGCGAGAGUGACGGUAGGAGCAGAAGAAGCACCGGCCAACUACGUGCCAGCAGCCGCGGUAAUACGUAGGGUGCAAGCGUUGUCCGGAAUUAUUGGGCGUAAAGAGCUCGUAGGCGGUCCGUCGCGUCGAAUGUGAAAACCCGGGGCUCAACCCCGGGCCUGCAUUCGAUACGGGCAGACUAGAGUUCGGUAGGGGAGUCUGGAAUUCCUGGUGUAGCGGUGAAAUGCGCAGAUAUCAGGAGGAACACCGGUGGCGAAGGCGGGACUCUGGGCCGAUACUGACGCUGAGGAGCGAAAGCGUGGGGAGCAAACAGGAUUAGAUACCCUGGUAG
Molecule: ribosomal RNA, 435 nt
Filed under: uncultured bacterium
Lineage: Bacteria
Description: bacterial SSU rRNA
Rfam family: Bacterial small subunit ribosomal RNA
Source: RNAcentral